AUCGACAGGCUUAACACAUGCAAGUCGAGGGGCAGCACAGGUAGCAAUACCGGGUGGCGACCGGCGCACGGGUGAGUAACGCGUAUGCAACUUACCUAUCAGAGGGGGAUAACCCGGCGAAAGUCGGACUAAUACCGCAUGAAGCAGGGGUCCCGCAUGGGGAUAUUUGCUAAAGAUUCAUCGCUGAUAGAUAGGCAUGCGUUCCAUUAGGCAGUUGGCGGGGUAACGGCCCACCAAACCGACGAUGGAUAGGGGUUCUGAGAGGAAGGUCCCCCACAUUGGUACUGAGACACGGACCAAACUCCUACGGGAGGCAGCAGUGAGGAAUAUUGGUCAAUGGCCGAGAGGCUGAACCAGCCAAGUCGCGUGAGGGAUGAAGGUUCUAUGGAUCGUAAACCUCUUUUAUAAGGGAAUAAAGUGCGGGACGUGUCCCGUUUUGUAUGUACCUUAUGAAUAAGGAUCGGCUAACUCCGUGCCAGCAGCCGCGGUAAUACGGAGGAUCCGAGCGUUAUCCGGAUUUAUUGGGUUUAAAGGGUGCGUAGGCGGCCUUUUAAGUCAGCGGUGAAAGUCUGUGGCUCAACCAUAGAAUUGCCGUUGAAACUGGGGGGCUUGAGUAUGUUUGAGGCAGGCGGAAUGCGUGGUGUAGCGGUGAAAUGCAUAGAUAUCACGCAGAACCCCGAUUGCGAAGGCAGCCUGCCAAGCCAUUACCGACGCUGAUGCACGAAAGCGUGGGGAUCAAACAGGAUUAGAUACCCUGGUAGUCCACGCAGUAAACGAUGAUCACUAGCUGUUUGCGAUACACUGUAAGCGGCACAGCGAAAGCGUUAAGUGAUCCACCUGGGGAGUACGCCGGCAACGGUGAAACUCAAAGGAAUUGACGGGGGCCCGCACAAGCGGAGGAACAUGUGGUUUAAUUCGAUGAUACGCGAGGAACCUUACCCGGGUUUGAACGCAUUCGGACCGAGGUGGAAACACCUUUUCUAGCAAUAGCCGUUUGCGAGGUGCUGCAUGGUUGUCGUCAGCUCGUGCCGUGAGGUGUCGGCUUAAGUGCCAUAACGAGCGCAACCCUUGCCACUAGUUACUAACAGGUAAAGCUGAGGACUCUGGUGGGACUGCCAGCGUAAGCUGCGAGGAAGGCGGGGAUGACGUCAAAUCAGCACGGCCCUUACAUCCGGGGCGACACACGUGUUACAAUGGCGUGGACAAAGGGAAGCCACCUGGCGACAGGGAGCGAAUCCCCAAACCACGUCUCAGUUCGGAUCGGAGUCUGCAACCCGACUCCGUGAAGCUGGAUUCGCUAGUAAUCGCGCAUCAGCCAUGGCGCGGUGAAUACGUUCCCGGGCCUUGUACACACCGCCCGUCAAGCCAUGGGAGCCGGGGGUACCUGAAGUCCGUAACCGCGAGGAUCGGCCUAGGGUAAAACUGGUGACUGGGGC
Molecule: ribosomal RNA, 1436 nt
Filed under: uncultured organism
Description: SSU rRNA
Rfam family: Bacterial small subunit ribosomal RNA
Source: RNAcentral